AGUGAACGCUGGCGGUAGGCCUAACACAUGCAAGUCGAACGGCAGCACAGUAAGAGCUUGCUCUUACGGGUGGCGAGUGGCGGACGGGUGAGGAAUACAUCGGAAUCUACUUUUUCGUGGGGGAUAACGUAGGGAAACUUACGCUAAUACCGCAUACGACCUACGGGUGAAAGCAGGGGAUCUUCGGACCUUGCGCGAUUGAAUGAGCCGAUGUCGGAUUAGCUAGUUGGCGGGGUAAAGGCCCACCAAGGCGACGAUCCGUAGCUGGUCUGAGAGGAUGAUCAGUCACACUGGAACUGAGACACGGUCCAGACUCCUACGGGAGGCAGCAGUGGGGAAUAUUGGACAAUGGGCGCAAGCCUGAUCCAGCCAUACCGCGUGGGUGAAGAAGGCCUUCGGGUUGUAAAGCCCUUUUGUUGGGAAGGAAAAGCAGCAGGUUAAUACCCCGCUGUUCUGACGGUACCAAAAGAAUAAGCACCGGCUAACUUCGUG
This 492-nucleotide ribosomal RNA is filed under the name uncultured bacterium. Its description in RNAcentral is "partial 16S ribosomal RNA". It matches the Rfam family "Bacterial small subunit ribosomal RNA", at positions 29 to 507 of the family's 1533-position model. The record is from RNAcentral.